GACGAGGGGUGCGAGCGUUAUUCGGAAUUAUUGGGCGUAAAGGGUGUGUAGGCGGUAUAUUAAGUCAACUGUUAAAUUUUCUGGCCUAACCGGAAACAUGCGGUAGAAACUGAUAUGCUGGAGGAUGGAAGAGAGAAGUGGAAUUCUCGGAGUAGCGGUAAAAUGCGUAGAUCUCGAGAGGAACACCAAUGGCGAAGGCAGCUUCUUGGUCCAUUCCUGACGCUGAGACACGAAAGCGUGGGGAGCAAACAGG
This 253-nucleotide ribosomal RNA is filed under the name uncultured bacterium. RNAcentral's name for it is "partial 16S ribosomal RNA". It matches the Rfam family "Bacterial small subunit ribosomal RNA", at positions 524 to 776 of the family's 1533-position model. The record is from RNAcentral.